This 228-nucleotide ribosomal RNA is filed under the name uncultured Lactobacillus sp. RNAcentral's name for it is "partial 16S ribosomal RNA". It matches the Rfam family "Bacterial small subunit ribosomal RNA", at positions 134 to 354 of the family's 1533-position model. The record is from RNAcentral. Lineage: Bacteria; Bacillati; Bacillota; Bacilli; Lactobacillales; Lactobacillaceae.
GAGAUCGGGAUAACACCUGGAAACAGAUGCUAAUACCGGAUAACAACAGAUGAUGCCUAUCAACUGUUUAAAAGAUGGUUCUGCUAUCACUCUUGGAUGGACCUGCGGUGCAUUAGCUAGUUGGUAGGGUAACGGCCUACCAAGGCGAUGAUGCAUAGCCGAGUUGAGAGACNGAUCGGCCACAUUGGGACUGAGACACGGCCCAAACUCCUACGGGAGGCAGCAGAC